RNAcentral lists this unclassified non-coding RNA (256 nucleotides) under Ascomycota sp. RNAcentral describes it as "partial contains small subunit ribosomal RNA, internal transcribed spacer 1, and 5.8S ribosomal RNA". The stretch from base 1 to 47 matches the Rfam family "Eukaryotic small subunit ribosomal RNA", at positions 1785 to 1831 of the family's 1831-position model. The record is from RNAcentral. Lineage: Eukaryota; Fungi; Ascomycota.
AAAGUCGUAACAAGGUUUCCGUAGGUGAACCUGCGGAAGGAUCAUUACUGAGAUAGGGUCCUUCGGGGCCCGACCUCCAACCCAAUGUCUAUUGUACCUCUGUUGCCUCGGCGGGCCGUCGGUCCUCCGCCGUCGGCCCCCUAACAAGGGCCCUCGUGCGCCCGCCGCAGGACCUAUUAAACUCUGUUUUAAAACAUGUAUUCUGAGUGGGAAUUAAAUAACUUCAAAACUUUCAACAACGGAUCUCUUGGUUCUG